CACUGGGAUCUCCCUGGUCCUUAAAGUUACCUGGAAGUGACAACUCCCUAACUCCUUUCCUGUCAGCAAGCCACCAAGGAGUCAUCCCCAAGGCCUGAGUACAUGUGGCAGCAUGAAAAACCUUUGGAACCACUAACACAGCAGAGCACCUAGAGUGGACCCAGGGUACCUGAUAGGUCCUUUUUCCUUUGGCACACAGACCAUUUUCUAUAGGGAUUCCAGAAUCCUAUAAGAUUCUCUAGGGUCUUCUGCAGGAAUUGGCAUAUCACUUGGGACUUUAUCACCCACACCUAUAAUCUUUACAUUCUGAAGAUACUCCAUUCCUCUGGAUCACAAAACGACCGAGCCUUGUAUUUUCUGACACAACAUGCUGUAGCUCCUCCUGUGGCUUCCUCAAGAGUGAACUAUCCUGAGCCCUGGCCUCAUCACUCAGACCUCCAGCCCUGGCAACCAUCAGGACCCAGACAUGGCUAACAGAGACCUACCAGUUCUCCAGGCCCUUUCUUUCUCCCUUUUGCUCUCAUGUGCUUUCAUUUAAAAUAUCUCAGAUUCAUCAGUUCCAUUCACCCAUCUUUUUCCCACAGAUCCCCUGAAUAAAGGAGAAGCAGACACUGUUUGCAUGAGGAAGCCUGUUCUGAUUGUGUCAGUGCUAAACCUCCUCAGUGGUAAAUAAAUCACCCCAGUCUCCAUAGUUACUAACCUCAAUCAUGUCAUGAGCUUCAGACACACAGUAAAAAUAAAGAUACUUGAGGCUGCAUGAACAUCAGACUUCAUGAGCCUCUGAGGUGACUUGGACUUAGUCCUCAGGCCAGACAACUCGGUUUCCAGAGCCUGAUUUUUCAUGAUUAUUCUCUUAUUCUUUUGUCUGUGUAUAGCUGGUAUCAAG
RNAcentral lists this long non-coding RNA (886 nucleotides) under Canis lupus familiaris (dog). Its description in RNAcentral is "lncRNA (ENSCAFG00000045565.2, ENSCAFG00845017952.1)". Lineage: Eukaryota; Metazoa; Chordata; Mammalia; Carnivora; Canidae. The record is from RNAcentral.